GAGUCAGUGUGGCAUAGUGGUUUGAGCAUUGGGCUAUGACUCUAGAGACCAGGGUCUGAUUCCCAGCUGACCCA
Non-coding RNA from Phrynosoma platyrhinos (Desert horned lizard), 74 nucleotides. The record is from the annotation of a GenBank genome assembly. NCBI's taxonomy places the organism in Eukaryota, Metazoa, Chordata, Lepidosauria, Squamata, Phrynosomatidae.